Rhodamnia argentea is the source of this 130-nucleotide small nuclear RNA. NCBI's taxonomy places the organism in Eukaryota, Viridiplantae, Streptophyta, Magnoliopsida, Myrtales, Myrtaceae. The record is from RefSeq and is a predicted model, not a curated record.
GUGUUCGUAGAAAGGAGAGAUGGUUGGCAUCUCCCCUGACAGGGACGGGAACAACCUUCGGUUUUACCUGUUAACCUACAUAUCCGGUUAAGGCUACCCACCUCUGGUGGAUCUAUAACCCAAUAUUUUU